CCCUUAGAUGUUCUGGGCCGCACGCGUGCUACACUGACCGGCGCAACAAGCUUUUUUCCUUGGCUCGACAGGCCUGGGUAAUCUUCGAACGCCGGUCGUGAUGGGGAUAGAUCCUUGCAAUUUUUGAUCUUCAACGAGGAAUUCCUAGUAAAUGCGAGUCAUCAUCUCGCGUUGAUUACGUCCCUGCCCUUUGUACACACCGCCCGUCGCACCUACCGAUUGAAUGGUCCGGUGAAAUCUCGGGACGGCGGCUCGGUCGCUUGCGUCCGACUGCUGAAACUUGAUUAAACCAUAUCAUUUAGAGGAAGGUGAAGUCGUAACA
This 322-nucleotide ribosomal RNA is filed under the name uncultured eukaryote. RNAcentral's name for it is "partial 18S ribosomal RNA". It matches the Rfam family "Eukaryotic small subunit ribosomal RNA", at positions 1470 to 1796 of the family's 1831-position model. The record is from RNAcentral.